CGGGCGCGGUGCCGGGCUAAGUCCCUUGGAACGGGGCGUCAUAGAGGGUGAGAAUCCCGUAUGUGCCCGGCAAUCUAGCCCAUGUGAAGCUCCUUCGACGAGUCGAGUUGUUUGGGAAUGCAGCUCAAAAUGGGUGGUAAAUUUCAUCUAAAGCUAAAUACUGGCCAGAGACCGAUAGCGCACAAGUAGAGUGAUCGAAAGAUGAAAAGCACUUUGGAAAGAGAGUCAAACAGUACGUGAAAUUGUUGAAAGGGAAGCGCUUGCGACCAGACCUGCCCGCGGGCGAUCAGCCGUCCCCUGGGGGCGGUGCACGCGCCCGCGAACAGGCCAGCAUCGGUUCGGGCGGCCGGAUAAAGGCCCUGGGAACGUAGCUCCUCUCGGGGAGUGUUAUAGCCCAGGGCGCCAUGCGGCCCGCCGGGACCGAGGACCGCGCUUCGGCUAGGAUGCUGGCGUAAUGGUUGCAAGCGGCCCGUCUUGAAACACGGACCAAGGAGUCUAACAUCUAUGCGAGUGUUUGGGUGUCAAACCCAUGCGCGUAAUGAAAGUGAACGGAGGUGGGAACCCGAGGGCGCACCAUCGACCGAUCCUGAUGUCUUCGGAUGGAUUUGAGUACGAGCAUAACUGUUGGGACCCGAAAGAUGAUGAACUAUGCCUGAAUAGGGUGAAG
This 667-nucleotide ribosomal RNA is filed under the name Huneckia pollinii. Its description in RNAcentral is "eukaryotic LSU rRNA". It matches the Rfam family "Eukaryotic large subunit ribosomal RNA", at positions 165 to 851 of the family's 3401-position model. The record is from RNAcentral. Lineage: Eukaryota; Fungi; Ascomycota; Lecanoromycetes; Teloschistales; Teloschistaceae.